Molecule: long non-coding RNA, 288 nt
Filed under: Medicago truncatula (barrel medic)
Lineage: Eukaryota; Viridiplantae; Streptophyta; Magnoliopsida; Fabales; Fabaceae
Description: long non-coding RNA (MTRU_LNC007191)
Source: RNAcentral
CCAAAACAACCUCUUCAAAUCAUGAUACAUCUUCGUUGCUCCUGGAUGAAUACUCAAACUACUUCUAUGACCUUCAUCCAAAAUUUGCCUCUUAAGCUCAAGAACAUCUGGCACACAAACUCGAUCACGAAACAUCAAAACAUUAUUCUCAUCCAAUCUAAAGUCUCCACCUUUACCUUGAUUAACCAACGUCACUCGGUCCAUGAGUUCCAAAUCUUCCUUCUGACCAUUCUUGAUUUCUUCCAAAAUAUUGCUUGUCAACUUCAACAUACCCAACCUCACACCAUC